GACGAAGGUGGCGAGCGUUACUCGGAAUUACUAGGCGUAAAGCGUGGGUAGGUGGUUCGGUAAGUCUGUUGUGGAAGCUCCCGGCUUAACCGGGAGAGGCCAAUGGAAACUACCGGACUUGAAUGUGGGAGGGGUCACUGGAAUUCCUGGUGUAGCGGUGAAAUGCGUAGAGAUCAGGAGGAACACCAAAGGCGAAAGCAGGUGACUGGAUCACUAUUGACACUGAGCCACGAAAGCUAGGGGAGCAAACAGG
Molecule: ribosomal RNA, 253 nt
Filed under: uncultured bacterium
Lineage: Bacteria
Description: partial 16S ribosomal RNA
Rfam family: Bacterial small subunit ribosomal RNA
Source: RNAcentral